CCUACGGUGUGCUGCAGUGGGGAAUAUUGGACAAUGGGCGAAAGCCUGAUCCAGCCAUGCCGCGUGUGUGAAGAAGGCCUUCGGGUUGUAAAGCACUUUCAGUGGGGAAGAAAGCCUUGGGGCUAAUACCCUCGAGGAAGGACAUCACCCACAGAAGAAGCACCGGCUAACUCCGUGCCAGCAGCCGCGGUAAUACGGAGGGUGCGAGCGUUAAUCGGAAUUACUGGGCGUAAAGCGCGCGUAGGCGGUCUGAUAAGCCGGUUGUGAAAGCCCCGGGCUCAACCUGGGAACGGCAUCCGGAACUGUCAGGCUAGAGUGCAGGAGAGGAAGGUAGAAUUCCCGGUGUGGCGGUGAAAUGCGUAGAGAUCGGGAGGAAUACCAGUGGCGAAGGCGGCCUUCUGGACUGACACUGACGCUGAGGUGCGAAAGCGUGGGUAGCAAACAGGAUUAGAUACCCGGGUAGUC
Molecule: ribosomal RNA, 465 nt
Filed under: Vreelandella stevensii
Lineage: Bacteria; Pseudomonadati; Pseudomonadota; Gammaproteobacteria; Oceanospirillales; Halomonadaceae
Description: partial 16S ribosomal RNA
Rfam family: Bacterial small subunit ribosomal RNA
Source: RNAcentral